UACGUAGGGGGCGAGCGUUAUCCGGAAUUAUUGGGCGUAAAGAGUACGUAGGUGGCCACCUAAGCGCAAAGUGAAAGCCCGAGGCUUAACCUCGGCGAGCCUUGUGAACUGGGCGGCUUGAGUGCAGGAGGGGAAAGUGGAAUUCCUAGUGUAGCGGUGAAAUGCGUAGAUAUUAGGAGGGACACCAGUGGCGAAGGCGACUUUCUGGACUGUAACUGACACUGAGGUACGAAGGCGUGGGGAGCAAACA
RNAcentral lists this ribosomal RNA (250 nucleotides) under uncultured prokaryote. Its description in RNAcentral is "partial 16S ribosomal RNA". It matches the Rfam family "Bacterial small subunit ribosomal RNA", at positions 524 to 774 of the family's 1533-position model. The record is from RNAcentral.